RNAcentral lists this ribosomal RNA (497 nucleotides) under uncultured bacterium. RNAcentral's name for it is "partial 16S ribosomal RNA". It matches the Rfam family "Bacterial small subunit ribosomal RNA", at positions 28 to 507 of the family's 1533-position model. The record is from RNAcentral.
GAUGAACGCUGGCGGCGUGCCUAAUACAUGCAAGUCGAGCGAACGGACGAGAAGCUUGCUUCUCUGAUGUUAGCGGCGGACGGGUGAGUAACACGUGGGUAACCUACCUAUAAGACUGGGAUAACUUCGGGAAACCGGAGCUAAUACCGGAUGAUAUUUUGAACCGCAUGGUUCAAAAGUGAAAGACGGUCUUGCUGUCACUUAUAGAUGGAUCCGCGCUGCAUUAGCUAGUUGGUAAGGUAAUGGCUUACCAAGGCAACGAUGCAUAGCCGACCUGAGAGGGUGAUCGGCCACACUGGAACUGAGACACGGUCCAGACUCCUACGGGAGGCAGCAGUAGGGAAUCUUCCGCAAUGGGCGAAAGCCUGACGGAGCAACGCCGCGUGAGUGAUGAAGGUCUUCGGACCGUAAAACUCUGUUAUUAGGGAAGAACAUAUGUGUAAGUAACUGUGCACAUCUUGACGGUACCUAAUCAGAAAGCCACGGCUAACUACGUG